GAUCAUGGCUCAGGAUGAACGCCAGCGACAGGCCUAACACAUGCAAGUCGAGGGGCAGCGGAGAGGUAGCAAUACCUUUGCCGGCGACCGGCGCACGGGUGAGUAACAUGUAUGCAAUCCACCUGUAACAGGGGGAUAACCCGGAGAAAUCCGGACUAAUACCCCAUAAUAUGGGCGCUCCGCAUGGAGAGCCCAUUAAAGAGAGCAAUUUUGGUUACAGACGAGCAUGCG
RNAcentral lists this ribosomal RNA (231 nucleotides) under uncultured bacterium. RNAcentral's name for it is "partial 16S ribosomal RNA". It matches the Rfam family "Bacterial small subunit ribosomal RNA", at positions 15 to 235 of the family's 1533-position model. The record is from RNAcentral.